RNAcentral lists this ribosomal RNA (553 nucleotides) under uncultured archaeon. Its description in RNAcentral is "bacterial SSU rRNA". It matches the Rfam family "Archaeal small subunit ribosomal RNA", at positions 329 to 882 of the family's 1478-position model. The record is from RNAcentral.
AUUGCAGCAGGCGCGAAAACUUUACAAUGCUGGCAACAGCGAUAAGGGAACCUCGAGUGCCAGGUUACAAAUCUGGCUGUCGAGAUGCCUAAAAAGCAUUUCAUAGCAAGGGCCGGGCAAGACCGGUGCCAGCCGCCGCGGUAACACCGGCGGCUCGAGUGGUAACCGUUAUUAUUGGGUCUAAAGGGUCUGUAGCCGGCCGGAUAAGUCUCUUGAGAAAUCUGGCAGCUUAACUGUCAGGCUUUCAGGAGAUACUGUCUGGCUCGAGGCCGGGAGAGGUGAGAGGUACUUCAGGGGUAGGGGUGAAAUCUUGUAAUCCUUGAAGGACCACCAGUGGCGAAGGCGUCUCACCAGAACGGACCUGACGGCAAGGGACGAAAGCUAGGGGCACGAACCGGAUUAGAUACCCGGGUAGUCCUAGCCGUAAACGAUACUCGCUAGGUGUCGGCCACGGUGCGACCGUUGUCGGUGCCGUAGGGAAGCCGUGAAGCGAGCCACCUGGGAAGUACGGCCGCAAGGCUGAAACUUAAAGGAAUUGGCGGGGGAGCACAAU